RNAcentral lists this ribosomal RNA (425 nucleotides) under uncultured bacterium. RNAcentral's name for it is "partial 16S ribosomal RNA". It matches the Rfam family "Bacterial small subunit ribosomal RNA", at positions 354 to 796 of the family's 1533-position model. The record is from RNAcentral.
GUGGGGAAUCUUGCGCAAUGGGCGAAAGCCUGACGCAGCCAUGCCGCGUGAAUGAUGAAGGUCUUAGGAUUGUAAAAUUCUUUCACCGGGGACGAUAAUGACGGUACCCGGAGAAGAAGCCCCGGCUAACUUCGAGCCAGCAGCCGCGGUAAUACGAAGGGGGCUAGCGUUGCUCGGAAUUACUGGGCGUAAAGGGCGCGUAGGCGGACAGUUUAGUCAGAGGUGAAAGCCCAGGGCUCAACCUUGGAAUUGCCUUUGAUACUGGCUGUCUUGAGUACGGGAGAGGUGAGUGGAACUCCGAGUGUAGAGGUGAAAUUCGUAGAUAUUCGGAAGAACACCAGUGGCGAAGGCGACUCACUGGCCCGUUACUGACGCUGAGGCGCGAAAGCGUGGGGAGCAAACAGGAUUAGAAACCCGAGUAGUCC